GGACCCUUGUGAUGCAGAACAGCGAACGGGCUGAGGACUGAAUGCUUCCUUUACUCAGCUUUUUACUUUGCAAGACUGCCCUCCAGAAAUUAUCUCAAUGGCAGUAAGCAGGGAAGAGGAAAAGUGAACGUCUUCAGUGUUUGUUUAUGCACAGUGAUGUUGCUCUGCUGAAAUGCUCUCUGGCGCAAGCCUUCCUUUACCACUAAUUGUACAAAUGCACAGAAAGUUCAGCUGUUAUGUACGUGGCUCCCAGCUGAGGCAUUGCUGCUGCUGCUACACGCUGUUUCGGCUUCAGUGGGGGCCACGUAUACUCUGUAUCCACUGUUGGUCUCUUCCAUAGUCCUUGUUUGUAGCACUGCUACAGUGAGAAAGCACGCAGCUGGGGGCAGAAGGAAGGGAGCUGAGCAAAGGCUGCAGAGCGCAGCCAUCAGGAGCUGCUGCAGGAGGCAGGAGCAAGCAAGAGGAUGCGGAAGCGUGCAGACGCGGGGGGGAAGGAGAGAGGCACUCUGGGCAAAGCAUCCGUCCCGUUAGCGGGGCCGCAGUCCCAUUUAGUCCCAUUUGAGUUUGAGAGUUGCCGGCGCCUUGGCCGGCUUUGUGCUGGGCGACCUCCCUGUAAGCAGGGCUCGGGUCUUUGCUUUUGCUGUAGUUGGGCUUUUGCCUUGCUGCUCCUUUGGCUGCCUGGGGAGCGUGGCCCCCUGUAACGCAGGGCGAGAGCCACCUCUCCGCACCUGAGUGGGAAACGGAGCUCGCCGGACCCCGAGGCCGCCCUGUAAGCAGGGUAGUGCCGUUUCCCCGCCCCUCUUCCUCCUCCGGCCCCUCGGCAUCGUUGCCUGGUGGUGGCCUGUCAGUGCGACGGCCCCGUACUCGGGGUGCGCGUCACGGCAUCUGGCCUUUGGCUUUAGCUGGGAAGCCCCUUGGCACGUUGAGGUCUGCGGCCUCCGUGCAGGCUAGGGACAGGUCACAGGCUCUUGUCUGUUGCCCGCGGUUGUGGGUUUAUUCCCAGGGUUUGGCUGCGCUGCGUUGUCCUUCCCUUCUGGAAAGUCGCGCCUGUGUGUGCGCGUUGCCCUUCCUUUCCUUGUUUGUGUUUGUGGAGUGACGGAGCGACUGAACUUUCCCUUUAGGCCCCCACAAAGAUGGCUGCAGCUUAGCUUCGACUUCCCUGGGGGGAAUGGAGGACUGUGGUGCACGCCGCAAAAGGGGUGUUCCCUCUCAGUCCCGCGAGCGCAGCGAGUGUCCUGUCUUCCUCUAAAUUAUUUAGCCUAGAUCAGAGCCACAUGGUAGUUCAGUGGCCGAGGCCGCCCUGUAGCCAGGGCUUGGGCCAGUCCUUUAGUGGGCGCCUGCUCCGCUGGCGGUGUGACAGCCCCGUAGUCGGGGCGUGUGUCCCAAGCUGCGGAGCCCUCUGUCCCCCGAGCAGCCCUCCCGCCCGCCCUGUAAUCAGGUGCGGGGAGGCUGCGGCAUUGCAGCCGGCUGCUCUAGCCAUCCAGCUGGUGGGAAUGACCCCUCCCUGUCCCGUCAGAGGGUGCAGGUUGAGGUGCUGCUUGUGUGUGCGGUGACCUCCCCACUCGGUGGGUCGAGGUUGCUCCCGGGGUUCCCAAAGGCAAGAGGUUGGUGAUGUUGUGCUGCUGCCGGGCGGGCCAGCCUGUAACUCGGGCGUUGGCGGGAGCCUCGUGCUCCGCGGGGCUUCCUGGGGAGGGUGGGGUGUGGGGGUACCGUCCUGUAGGCAGGGCUGCGCGUGCCCCCCGUGAGUGCUAGGUGAGCUGCGUUCAGAGAGACCCCCUGUACUCAGGCGGGCAUGUGGCCCCGGCCUUUCAGAGGCACGGGGCUGCGAGAGGUGGGCUUGGGCUUGCGCCCUCCCCGCAGUCAGGGCUGGGGUCCCCACCGCGGCAUUUGGCCGUGCCGCCCCGCUGCCUGGCAGCUGAGAGUCUCUCCCGCCGCUGGGGGGGAAACCGAGCUCUGUGGCUCCAGGGGUGUCAUCCACCCGCCUGUAAUCAGGGUCUGGGUGCGCGAGCGCUUGUGCUCAGCUGGCAGCCUGUGUGGGGUGACCGCCCCGUUAGCGGGGUGCGGGUCCAGGUGCCCCCGGACUGGGAGAGAAGGAGCCUCCCGCGGCCGGUAGGGAUGGGGGCUGCCCUGUAAGCCGGGGAGCGCCAGUGCCCCGCAGUCCCAGGCCCUUUGCAAUGGAGGCAGUGGCGGGGGUCCCCUGUAAUCAGGGAAGCUGACUCUUUGGCCGCUGCCAUGCGUGUGUGCCCAGCUCCAUUUGCCCAGUCUGCCCGCCUCUGUGAUCCCCCGCAGCACCGGCUGGAAGCGCGCCGUGCGCCAGUGAGGAGCUGCUGCAGAAGAAAGAAGAAGAAGCGGCGUGGGGACGCGGGAGGCAGGAGCGCGCAAGCAAGCAAGCAAGGAUGCAAGCGAGAAGAGGAUGCGGAAGCGUGCAGACGCGGGGGGGAAGGAGAGAGGCACUCUGGGCAAAGCAUCCGUCCCGUUAGCGGGGCCGCAGUCCCAUUUAGUCCCAUUUGAGUUUGAGAGUUGCCGGCGCCUUGGCCGGCUUUGUGCUGGGCGACCUCCCUGUAAGCAGGGCUCGGGUCUUUGCUUUUGCUGUAGUUGGGCUUUUGCCUUGCUGCUCCUUUGGCUGCCUGGGGAGCGUGGCCCCCUGUAACGCAGGGCGAGAGCCACCUCUCCGCACCUGAGUGGGAAACGGAGCUCGCCGGACCCCGAGGCCGCCCUGUAAGCAGGGUAGUGCCGUUUCCCCGCCCCUCUUCCUCCUCCGGCCCCUCGGCAUCGUUGCCUGGUGGUGGCCUGUCAGUGCGACGGCCCCGUACUCGGGGUGCGCGUCACGGCAUCUGGCCUUUGGCUUUAGCUGGGAAGCCCCUUGGCACGUUGAGGUCUGCGGCCUCCGUGCAGGCUAGGGACAGGUCACAGGCUCUUGUCUGUUGCCCGCGGUUGUGGGUUUAUUCCCAGGGUUUGGCUGCGCUGCGUUGUCCUUCCCUUCUGGAAAGUCGCGCCUGUGUGUGCGCGUUGCCCUUCCUUUCCUUGUUUGUGUUUGUGGAGUGACGGAGCGACUGAACUUUCCCUUUAGGCCCCCACAAAGAUGGCUGCAGCUUAGCUUCGACUUCCCUGGGGGGAAUGGAGGACUGUGGUGCACGCCGCAAAAGGGGUGUUCCCUCUCAGUCCCGCGAGCGCAGCGAGUGUCCUGUCUUCCUCUAAAUUAUUUAGCCUAGAUCAGAGCCACAUGGUAGUUCAGUGGCCGAGGCCGCCCUGUAGCCAGGGCUUGGGCCAGUCCUUUAGUGGGCGCCUGCUCCGCUGGCGGUGUGACAGCCCCGUAGUCGGGGCGUGUGUCCCAAGCUGCGGAGCCCUCUGUCCCCCGAGCAGCCCUCCCGCCCGCCCUGUAAUCAGGUGCGGGGAGGCUGCGGCAUUGCAGCCGGCUGCUCUAGCCAUCCAGCUGGUGGGAAUGACCCCUCCCUGUCCCGUCAGAGGGUGCAGGUUGAGGUGCUGCUUGUGUGUGCGGUGACCUCCCCACUCGGUGGGUCGAGGUUGCUCCCGGGGUUCCCAAAGGCAAGAGGUUGGUGAUGUUGUGCUGCUGCCGGGCGGGCCAGCCUGUAACUCGGGCGUUGGCGGGAGCCUCGUGCUCCGCGGGGCUUCCUGGGGAGGGUGGGGUGUGGGGGUACCGUCCUGUAGGCAGGGCUGCGCGUGCCCCCCGUGAGUGCUAGGUGAGCUGCGUUCAGAGAGACCCCCUGUACUCAGGCGGGCAUGUGGCCCCGGCCUUUCAGAGGCACGGGGCUGCGAGAGGUGGGCUUGGGCUUGCGCCCUCCCCGCAGUCAGGGCUGGGGUCCCCACCGCGGCAUUUGGCCGUGCCGCCCCGCUGCCUGGCAGCUGAGAGUCUCUCCCGCCGCUGGGGGGGAAACCGAGCUCUGUGGCUCCAGGGGUGUCAUCCACCCGCCUGUAAUCAGGGUCUGGGUGCGCGAGCGCUUGUGCUCAGCUGGCAGCCUGUGUGGGGUGACCGCCCCGUUAGCGGGGUGCGGGUCCAGGUGCCCCCGGACUGGGAGAGAAGGAGCCUCCCGCGGCCGGUAGGGAUGGGGGCUGCCCUGUAAGCCGGGGAGCGCCAGUGCCCCGCAGUCCCAGGCCCUUUGCAAUGGAGGCAGUGGCGGGGGUCCCCUGUAAUCAGGGAAGCUGACUCUUUGGCCGCUGCCAUGCGUGUGUGCCCAGCUCCAUUUGCCCAGUCUGCCCGCCUCUGUGAUCCCCCGCAGCACCGGCUGGAAGCGCGCCGUGCGCCAGUGAGGAGCUGCUGCAGAAGAAAGAAGAAGAAGCGGCGUGGGGACGCGGGAGGCAGGAGCGCGCAAGCAAGCAAGCAAGGAUGCAAGCGAGAAGAGGAUGCGGAAGCGUGCAGACGCGGGGGGGAAGGAGAGAGGCACCCUGGGCAAAGCAUCCGUCCCGUUAGCGGGGCCGCAGUCCCAUUUAGUCCCAUUUGAGUUUGAGAGUUGCCGGCGCCUUGGCCGGCUUUGUGCUGGGCGACCUCCCUGUAAGCAGGGCUCGGGUCUUUGCUUUUGCUGUAGUUGGGCUUUUGCCUUGCUGCUCCUUUGGCUGCCUGGGGAGCGUGGCCCCCUGUAACGCAGGGCGAGAGCCACCUCUCCGCACCUGAGUGGGAAACGGAGCUCGCCGGACCCCGAGGCCGCCCUGUAAGCAGGGUAGUGCCGUUUCCCCGCCCCUCUUCCUCCUCCGGCCCCUCGGCAUCGUUGCCUGGUGGUGGCCUGUCAGUGCGACGGCCCCGUACUCGGGGUGCGCGUCACGGCAUCUGGCCUUUGGCUUUAGCUGGGAAGCCCCUUGGCACGUUGAGGUCUGCGGCCUCCGUGCAGGCUAGGGACAGGUCACAGGCUCUUGUCUGUUGCCCGCGGUUGUGGGUUUAUUCCCAGGGUUUGGCUGCGCUGCGUUGUCCUUCCCUUCUGGAAAGUCGCGCCUGUGUGUGCGCGUUGCCCUUCCUUUCCUUGUUUGUGUUUGUGGAGUGACGGAGCGACUGAACUUUCCCUUUAGGCCCCCACAAAGAUGGCUGCAGCUUAGCUUCGACUUCCCUGGGGGGAAUGGAGGACUGUGGUGCACGCCGCAAAAGGGGUGUUCCCUCUCAGUCCCGCGAGCGCAGCGAGUGUCCUGUCUUCCUCUAAAUUAUUUAGCCUAGAUCAGAGCCACAUGGUAGUUCAGUGGCCGAGGCCGCCCUGUAGCCAGGGCUUGGGCCAGUCCUUUAGUGGGCGCCUGCUCCGCUGGCGGUGUGACAGCCCCGUAGUCGGGGCGUGUGUCCCAAGCUGCGGAGCCCUCUGUCCCCCGAGCAGCCCUCCCGCCCGCCCUGUAAUCAGGUGCGGGGAGGCUGCGGCAUUGCAGCCGGCUGCUCUAGCCAUCCAGCUGGUGGGAAUGACCCCUCCCUGUCCCGUCAGAGGGUGCAGGUUGAGGUGCUGCUUGUGUGUGCGGUGACCUCCCCACUCGGUGGGUCGAGGUUGCUCCCGGGGUUCCCAAAGGCAAGAGGUUGGUGAUGUUGUGCUGCUGCCGGGCGGGCCAGCCUGUAACUCGGGCGUUGGCGGGAGCCUCGUGCUCCGCGGGGCUUCCUGGGGAGGGUGGGGUGUGGGGGUACCGUCCUGUAGGCAGGGCUGCGCGUGCCCCCCGUGAGUGCUAGGUGAGCUGCGUUCAGAGAGACCCCCUGUACUCAGGCGGGCAUGUGGCCCCGGCCUUUCAGAGGCACGGGGCUGCGAGAGGUGGGCUUGGGCUUGCGCCCUCCCCGCAGUCAGGGCUGGGGUCCCCACCGCGGCAUUUGGCCGUGCCGCCCCGCUGCCUGGCAGCUGAGAGUCUCUCCCGCCGCUGGGGGGGAAACCGAGCUCUGUGGCUCCAGGGGUGUCAUCCACCCGCCUGUAAUCAGGGUCUGGGUGCGCGAGCGCUUGUGCUCAGCUGGCAGCCUGUGUGGGGUGACCGCCCCGUUAGCGGGGUGCGGGUCCAGGUGCCCCCGGACUGGGAGAGAAGGAGCCUCCCGCGGCCGGUAGGGAUGGGGGCUGCCCUGUAAGCCGGGGAGCGCCAGUGCCCCGCAGUCCCAGGCCCUUUGCAAUGGAGGCAGUGGCGGGGGUCCCCUGUAAUCAGGGAAGCUGACUCUUUGGCCGCUGCCAUGCGUGUGUGCCCAGCUCCAUUUGCCCAGUCUGCCCGCCUCUGUGAUCCCCCGCAGCACCGGCUGGAAGCGCGCCGUGCGCCAGUGAGGAGCUGCUGCAGAAGAAAGAAGAAGAAGCGGCGUGGGGACGCGGGAGGCAGGAGCGCGCAAGCAAGCAAGCAAGGAUGCAAGCGAGAAGAGGAUGCGGAAGCGUGCAGACGCGGGGGGGAAGGAGAGAGGCACUCUGGGCAAAGCAUCCGUCCCGUUAGCGGGGCCGCAGUCCCAUUUAGUCCCAUUUGAGUUUGAGAGUUGCCGGCGCCUUGGCCGGCUUUGUGCUGGGCGACCUCCCUGUAAGCAGGGCUCGGGUCUUUGCUUUUGCUGUAGUUGGGCUUUUGCCUUGCUGCUCCUUUGGCUGCCUGGGGAGCGUGGCCCCCUGUAACGCAGGGCGAGAGCCACCUCUCCGCACCUGAGUGGGAAACGGAGCUCGCCGGACCCCGAGGCCGCCCUGUAAGCAGGGUAGUGCCGUUUCCCCGCCCCUCUUCCUCCUCCGGCCCCUCGGCAUCGUUGCCUGGUGGUGGCCUGUCAGUGCGACGGCCCCGUACUCGGGGUGCGCGUCACGGCAUCUGGCCUUUGGCUUUAGCUGGGAAGCCCCUUGGCACGUUGAGGUCUGCGGCCUCCGUGCAGGCUAGGGACAGGUCACAGGCUCUUGUCUGUUGCCCGCGGUUGUGGGUUUAUUCCCAGGGUUUGGCUGCGCUGCGUUGUCCUUCCCUUCUGGAAAGUCGCGCCUGUGUGUGCGCGUUGCCCUUCCUUUCCUUGUUUGUGUUUGUGGAGUGACGGAGCGACUGAACUUUCCCUUUAGGCCCCCACAAAGAUGGCUGCAGCUUAGCUUCGACUUCCCUGGGGGGAAUGGAGGACUGUGGUGCACGCCGCAAAAGGGGUGUUCCCUCUCAGUCCCGCGAGCGCAGCGAGUGUCCUGUCUUCCUCUAAAUUAUUUAGCCUAGAUCAGAGCCACAUGGUAGUUCAGUGGCCGAGGCCGCCCUGUAGCCAGGGCUUGGGCCAGUCCUUUAGUGGGCGCCUGCUCCGCUGGCGGUGUGACAGCCCCGUAGUCGGGGCGUGUGUCCCAAGCUGCGGAGCCCUCUGUCCCCCGAGCAGCCCUCCCGCCCGCCCUGUAAUCAGGUGCGGGGAGGCUGCGGCAUUGCAGCCGGCUGCUCUAGCCAUCCAGCUGGUGGGAAUGACCCCUCCCUGUCCCGUCAGAGGGUGCAGGUUGAGGUGCUGCUUGUGUGUGCGGUGACCUCCCCACUCGGUGGGUCGAGGUUGCUCCCGGGGUUCCCAAAGGCAAGAGGUUGGUGAUGUUGUGCUGCUGCCGGGCGGGCCAGCCUGUAACUCGGGCGUUGGCGGGAGCCUCGUGCUCCGCGGGGCUUCCUGGGGAGGGUGGGGUGUGGGGGUACCGUCCUGUAGGCAGGGCUGCGCGUGCCCCCCGUGAGUGCUAGGUGAGCUGCGUUCAGAGAGACCCCCUGUACUCAGGCGGGCAUGUGGCCCCGGCCUUUCAGAGGCACGGGGCUGCGAGAGGUGGGCUUGGGCUUGCGCCCUCCCCGCAGUCAGGGCUGGGGUCCCCACCGCGGCAUUUGGCCGUGCCGCCCCGCUGCCUGGCAGCUGAGAGUCUCUCCCGCCGCUGGGGGGGAAACCGAGCUCUGUGGCUCCAGGGGUGUCAUCCACCCGCCUGUAAUCAGGGUCUGGGUGCGCGAGCGCUUGUGCUCAGCUGGCAGCCUGUGUGGGGUGACCGCCCCGUUAGCGGGGUGCGGGUCCAGGUGCCCCCGGACUGGGAGAGAAGGAGCCUCCCGCGGCCGGUAGGGAUGGGGGCUGCCCUGUAAGCCGGGGAGCGCCAGUGCCCCGCAGUCCCAGGCCCUUUGCAAUGGAGGCAGUGGCGGGGGUCCCCUGUAAUCAGGGAAGCUGACUCUUUGGCCGCUGCCAUGCGUGUGUGCCCAGCUCCAUUUGCCCAGUCUGCCCGCCUCUGUGAUCCCCCGCAGCACCGGCUGGAAGCGCGCCGUGCGCCAGUGAGGAGCUGCUGCAGAAGAAAGAAGAAGAAGCGGCGUGGGGACGCGGGAGGCAGGAGCGCGCAAGCAAGCAAGCAAGGAUGCAAGCGAGAAGAGGAUGCGGAAGCGUGCAGACGCGGGGGGGAAGGAGAGAGGCACUCUGGGCAAAGCAUCCGUCCCGUUAGCGGGGCCGCAGUCCCAUUUAGUCCCAUUUGAGUUUGAGAGUUGCCGGCGCCUUGGCCGGCUUUGUGCUGGGCGACCUCCCUGUAAGCAGGGCUCGGGUCUUUGCUUUUGCUGUAGUUGGGCUUUUGCCUUGCUGCUCCUUUGGCUGCCUGGGGAGCGUGGCCCCCUGUAACGCAGGGCGAGAGCCACCUCUCCGCACCUGAGUGGGAAACGGAGCUCGCCGGACCCCGAGGCCGCCCUGUAAGCAGGGUAGUGCCGUUUCCCCGCCCCUCUUCCUCCUCCGGCCCCUCGGCAUCGUUGCCUGGUGGUGGCCUGUCAGUGCGACGGCCCCGUACUCGGGGUGCGCGUCACGGCAUCUGGCCUUUGGCUUUAGCUGGGAAGCCCCUUGGCACGUUGAGGUCUGCGGCCUCCGUGCAGGCUAGGGACAGGUCACAGGCUCUUGUCUGUUGCCCGCGGUUGUGGGUUUAUUCCCAGGGUUUGGCUGCGCUGCGUUGUCCUUCCCUUCUGGAAAGUCGCGCCUGUGUGUGCGCGUUGCCCUUCCUUUCCUUGUUUGUGUUUGUGGAGUGACGGAGCGACUGAACUUUCCCUUUAGGCCCCCACAAAGAUGGCUGCAGCUUAGCUUCGACUUCCCUGGGGGGAAUGGAGGACUGUGGUGCACGCCGCAAAAGGGGUGUUCCCUCUCAGUCCCGCGAGCGCAGCGAGUGUCCUGUCUUCCUCUAAAUUAUUUAGCCUAGAUCAGAGCCACAUGGUAGUUCAGUGGCCGAGGCCGCCCUGUAGCCAGGGCUUGGGCCAGUCCUUUAGUGGGCGCCUGCUCCGCUGGCGGUGUGACAGCCCCGUAGUCGGGGCGUGUGUCCCAAGCUGCGGAGCCCUCUGUCCCCCGAGCAGCCCUCCCGCCCGCCCUGUAAUCAGGUGCGGGGAGGCUGCGGCAUUGCAGCCGGCUGCUCUAGCCAUCCAGCUGGUGGGAAUGACCCCUCCCUGUCCCGUCAGAGGGUGCAGGUUGAGGUGCUGCUUGUGUGUGCGGUGACCUCCCCACUCGGUGGGUCGAGGUUGCUCCCGGGGUUCCCAAAGGCAAGAGGUUGGUGAUGUUGUGCUGCUGCCGGGCGGGCCAGCCUGUAACUCGGGCGUUGGCGGGAGCCUCGUGCUCCGCGGGGCUUCCUGGGGAGGGUGGGGUGUGGGGGUACCGUCCUGUAGGCAGGGCUGCGCGUGCCCCCCGUGAGUGCUAGGUGAGCUGCGUUCAGAGAGACCCCCUGUACUCAGGCGGGCAUGUGGCCCCGGCCUUUCAGAGGCACGGGGCUGCGAGAGGUGGGCUUGGGCUUGCGCCCUCCCCGCAGUCAGGGCUGGGGUCCCCACCGCGGCAUUUGGCCGUGCCGCCCCGCUGCCUGGCAGCUGAGAGUCUCUCCCGCCGCUGGGGGGGAAACCGAGCUCUGUGGCUCCAGGGGUGUCAUCCACCCGCCUGUAAUCAGGGUCUGGGUGCGCGAGCGCUUGUGCUCAGCUGGCAGCCUGUGUGGGGUGACCGCCCCGUUAGCGGGGUGCGGGUCCAGGUGCCCCCGGACUGGGAGAGAAGGAGCCUCCCGCGGCCGGUAGGGAUGGGGGCUGCCCUGUAAGCCGGGGAGCGCCAGUGCCCCGCAGUCCCAGGCCCUUUGCAAUGGAGGCAGUGGCGGGGGUCCCCUGUAAUCAGGGAAGCUGACUCUUUGGCCGCUGCCAUGCGUGUGUGCCCAGCUCCAUUUGCCCAGUCUGCCCGCCUCUGUGAUCCCCCGCAGCACCGGCUGGAAGCGCGCCGUGCGCCAGUGAGGAGCUGCUGCAGAAGAAAGAAGAAGAAGCGGCGUGGGGACGCGGGAGGCAAUAUCGAGCACGAGGUUUCUGUUGAUUGUCAGCCUUUUUCAUUUUUCUUGUCUUCUGAAUCUGACAUUUGUGUUUUUCUCUUGUUAGCUCUUUUUUGUCUCCAUGGGCCUUUGAAAAUAAAAAUCAUAUGCGUGUUUUUGUUGUCGUGAUAUCUGCUUUUGUUCUCUGGUCUUCUCUGUGUUUUAAUGUUAAGUUAUGCCUCAGUUAGCAUAAAUCUGCUUCUUUUUGAAUUGCCAUCUA
This is a long non-coding RNA of Tympanuchus pallidicinctus (lesser prairie-chicken), 10407 nucleotides long. RefSeq lists it as uncharacterized. Lineage: Eukaryota; Metazoa; Chordata; Aves; Galliformes; Phasianidae. The record is from RefSeq and is a predicted model, not a curated record. The transcript is spliced from 7 exons.